UUUUCGCACUCUGGAGAGCGGCAGUAGCCGUCUGCAUCGUUCAAUCGAGCAGAUUGGCAGGCUGCCCACCGAAGGGGCGCGCGUUUCACCGUGGCGGACUCACGUUCUCACGGCAACGCAAUCUCUCAGGUAUCGAGGACAGAGGGGCCAUG
This 152-nucleotide non-coding RNA is filed under the name Paraburkholderia xenovorans. Its description in RNAcentral is "Burkholderia xenovorans Glycine sequence". It matches the Rfam family "Glycine riboswitch aptamer". From Rfam's summary of the family: This family represents the bacterial glycine riboswitch. Glycine riboswitches usually consist of two metabolite-binding aptamers domains with similar structures in tandem. The record is from RNAcentral. Lineage: Bacteria; Pseudomonadati; Pseudomonadota; Betaproteobacteria; Burkholderiales; Burkholderiaceae. RNAcentral also lists the same sequence under 1 other name.